UAGAAAAAAAGUUAUUUGCGUUUGUAAGAAAAAUCCCUUCGCUACGUUUAAUUUAUAAGUUGGCAAGACUAUUGCAAUUAUUCUGACAGAAUUGCCAAUAAACGAAUAAAAAUAAUCGUAACAAAUAAUAAAAAGAUAAUAUAAAAAUAAAAUGAGAUAAUAUAGAAAAAAAAAUAUUUGCUUCUUUAUUAUGUGCUUUUGGAGUGUCGCAGAAUAUUAAUUAAUUUAUCUUGUCAAAAUGAACUAUAAAAGCAAAAGAAAAGUAAUUGGAUUGAAGGCACUUUUUUAUCGGCAUACAAUUAAAUACAUACGUAAAAAAAAUUACACGCUUCUUUGAUUAUAUCUUGAUGUGCAAAUUAUGACAACAUUCUAUUGUUAUUUAUCGUCACAUGAUUAUCAUUUGGAAUCUAGACGUAUACAUUAUAUAUCAAUACUUAUCAGACAAUAAAUAAUCUAUAUACAUAAUAUAAUGUACGUAAGUAGUACAUUAGUUUGCUUACGAACAACUGUGAAAGUUCACGUCUAAGAAAGAAAAGUUCGCAAUCCAAUGUAGAGAGAGAUCGCAUCGAUGAUCGUGUUACUGACGUCAAUGAAGAUACAGAACGUUCGAUGGACUGUGUCCUAGUUGCUUGUUGCUGCUUUAGCAACAUAUGUCGAAGCGAUUGAGCUUCCUCUCGAAGGGUCACCACCUGCGCUCGUAAAAUAGCAUUUUCGUGUUCUAACAUUGUUGCCUUUAAAGCGAUCUACGAAAAAUAAUUGAAUGAUGGAGGGGUGGGGAAUAUGUUGUGUAAAGUAUUAAUCGAUUAAGGAGUUUUACAUACACAUUUGGAUCGUUCAAAAAUAAAGACAUUAAUAUUUUUGA
Molecule: long non-coding RNA, 862 nt
Organism: Vespa mandarinia (Asian giant hornet)
Lineage: Eukaryota; Metazoa; Arthropoda; Insecta; Hymenoptera; Vespidae
Source: RefSeq, a predicted model, not a curated record